Molecule: ribosomal RNA, 296 nt
Filed under: uncultured bacterium
Lineage: Bacteria
Description: partial 16S ribosomal RNA
Rfam family: Bacterial small subunit ribosomal RNA
Source: RNAcentral
AUUGAACGCUGGCGGCAUGCUUUACACAUGCAAGUCGAGCGGCAGCGCGGGGGCAACCCUGGCGGCGAGCGGCGAACGGGUGAGUAAUACAUCGGAACGUACCCCGUAGUGGGGGAUAACCCGGCGAAAGCCGGACUAAUACCGCAUAUGCUCUACGGAGGAAAGUGGGGGAUUCAGCAGGCAACUGAGGAACCUCACGCUAUGGGAGCGGCCGAUGUCCGAUUAGCUUGUUGGCGGGGUAAAGGCCCACCAAGGCGACGAUCGGUAGCUGGUCUGAGAGGAUGAUCAGCCACACU